Juglans microcarpa x Juglans regia is the source of this 343-nucleotide long non-coding RNA. RefSeq lists it as uncharacterized. Lineage: Eukaryota; Viridiplantae; Streptophyta; Magnoliopsida; Fagales; Juglandaceae. The transcript is spliced from 2 exons. The record is from RefSeq and is a predicted model, not a curated record.
GAGAGAAUAAAGGGAAAAGAGAUAAAAAAAGAGCGACAACGACAUGAUGCGCUCAUAUUGCAAGUGUUUAAUUGGUCGUUAAGGAAUAUUAAUGCACCUUUGGCUUUAUUGAUUUUCCACGAGCCAUAAGAUCAUAACAUCACAUUUCAUUAAGUGAUUUUUUUAUUCUGAAGAAGAAAAACGAAAAAGAAAAGGAGAUCAUCAAGAUCGACCCAGAACUCGCUGCUGCAUUUACCAUGAUUAUGUAUCGGUGGAGAUCAUGACUGCAAGCUGGUAUCAGCUCUUCUCCAUGUAUUUUACCAGCAAAUUCAACGAAGGCUCUCGAUCUUUAUAUAUACACAAA